CCAGUAGAAUCAACCGUAUCUGAAGAGAGAGCUGAGGAAAUUAAACAAUGACUGAGAAACAACACACAGCCCAUCAGCCAGGUGGAACAGUACAUGCGAAAAAUAUGUUUGAGGUCCUCCAUGAGUUUCCUCGGCUAACUACCCCAGGCAUGAUUGCACAGGACUUUCACAUUUUACUUCAAGAUGCAGCCCCAAAACUGUUUGAAAAAUGGCUGGUAUACUGACAGGAUCUUGCUUUUUGCGAAGCGAGAAGCAAAGCUUCCAUGUACAUCUGAAGAAAUGACAGAAGUGGAUCAACAGCAGAACUUUACACUUCAGUCUACACUUUUAUGGGAUUUUGGACUCAUGCUAAUUUGACCUCUUUAGUAAAUCUGGCCCUAUAUUUUCAAUGACAACUCGCUACUGUUUUUAGUAGUGUUGAUGAAUGUAAUAUUAUUUUCCUACAGAUGCAAAGGGAAAUCUUGCACUAAAGCUGUUACCUGUUUUGCUUCCACCUCCACCCUACAAAAUUGGCAGAAAAACACUCCGGGCCCAGCAUUGAUGAAAUCAAAAAAGCUUUCAUUGACAUUUAGCCUGUUGGAACAAAUAUGGUGGAGGACCUCCAGCAGGCUGAAGCAUCAAGACCUUACCCUCAUGUCCUGUCACUUGAAAAUGGACACAUUGAUUCGCAGGCAUUUGUCAUCCUCGCAGGAAAAGCUUUGG
This is a long non-coding RNA of Carassius carassius (crucian carp), 702 nucleotides long. RefSeq lists it as uncharacterized. The transcript has 4 exons. The record is from RefSeq and is a predicted model, not a curated record. NCBI's taxonomy places the organism in Eukaryota, Metazoa, Chordata, Actinopteri, Cypriniformes, Cyprinidae.